This 583-nucleotide unclassified non-coding RNA is filed under the name Hevea brasiliensis (rubber tree). Lineage: Eukaryota; Viridiplantae; Streptophyta; Magnoliopsida; Malpighiales; Euphorbiaceae. The record is from RNAcentral.
AGCGACGUGUAUAGCUUUGGUGUUAUGCUCAUGGAGAUAAUUACAGGAAGAAGUCCUGUUGACUAUUCGAGACCGCCUGGGGAGAUGAACUUGGUCGAUUGGUUUAAAGGAAUGGUAUCAAAUCGACGUGGUGAAGAAUUGGUCGACCCAUUAAUUGAAGUCCAUCCUCCUCCUAGAUCCCUAAAGCGGGUUUUGUUGGUCUGCCUUCGCUGCAUAGAUAUGGAUGCCAACAAGCGGCCAAAGAUGGGUCAAAUAGUACAUAUGCUAGAGGCUGAUGAAUUUCCUUUCCGUUCAGAACCUCGACUAGUCCAGGAAAAAGAUCCUCUAAAUCCGCGUUCAGCCGGAACCAAUAGACUUCAACUAGCUACUAAAGACGGUGCAGGUGGUGAUGAACAGAAACCUAGAGGGAGAUGAAGAGUUGUAUACAGGAAUAUUUUAGUAUGUAUAUUCUUUUGAAUCAUUUCCGCUCACUCCCAGUUUACUGUCUCCUACAGUAUUAAUUUGUGCCCCGAGCUUGUGCCUAUGUAGGCUCUAUAUCUUGGUCAAUUUUUGUAUAUAAACAUAGUUAAACUACUCAGGAAAA